ACCCUGGUAGUCCACGCCGUAAACGAUGUCGACUUGGAGGUUGUGCCCUUGAGGCGUGGCUUCCGGAGCUAACGCGUUAAGUCGACCGCCUGGGGAGUACGGCCGCAAGGUUAAAACUCAAAUGAAUUGACGGGGGCCCGCACAAGCGGUGGAGCAUGUGGUUUAAUUCGAUGCAACGCGAAGAACCUUACCUGGUCUUGACAUCCACGGAAGUUUUCAGAGAUGAGAAUGUGCCUUCGGGAACCGUGAGACAGGUGCUGCAUGGCUGUCGUCAGCUCGUGUUGUGAAAUGUUGGGUUAAGUCCCGCAACGAGCGCAACCCUUAUCCUUUGUUGCCAGCGGUCCGGCCGGGAACUCAAAGGAGACUGCCAGUGAUAAACUGGAGGAAGGUGGGGAUGACGUCAAGUCAUCAUGGCCCUUACGACCAGGGCUACACACGUGCUACAAUGGCGCAUACAAAGAGAAGCGACCUCGCGAGAGCAAGCGGACCUCAUAAAGUGCGUCGUAGUCCGGAUUGGAGUCUGCAACUCGACUCCAUGAAGUCGGAAUCGCUAGUAAUCGUGGAUCAGAAUGCCACGGUGAAUACGUUCCCGGGCCUUGUACACACCGCCCGUCACACCAUGGGAGUGGGUUGCAAAAGAAGUAGGUAGCUUAACCUUCGGGAGGGCGCUUACCACUUUGUGAUUCAUGACUGGGGUGAAGUCGUAACAAGGUAACCGUAGGGGAACCUGCGGUUGGAUCAC
Molecule: ribosomal RNA, 742 nt
Filed under: Escherichia coli
Lineage: Bacteria; Pseudomonadati; Pseudomonadota; Gammaproteobacteria; Enterobacterales; Enterobacteriaceae
Also listed under: 1 other name
Description: bacterial SSU rRNA
Rfam family: Bacterial small subunit ribosomal RNA
Source: RNAcentral